This 255-nucleotide ribosomal RNA is filed under the name uncultured bacterium. Its description in RNAcentral is "partial 16S ribosomal RNA". It matches the Rfam family "Bacterial small subunit ribosomal RNA", at positions 100 to 353 of the family's 1533-position model. The record is from RNAcentral.
CACGGGUGAGUAACACGUAUCCAACCUGCCGUCUACUCUUGGACAGCCUUCUGAAAGGAAGAUUAAUACAAGAUGGCAUCAGUGAGUCCGCAUGUUCACAUGAUUAAAGGUAUUCCGGUAGACGAUGGGGAUGCGUUCCAUUAGAUAGUAGGCGGGGUAACGGCCCACCUAGUCUUCGAUGGAUAGGGGUUCUGAGAGGAAGGUCCCCCACAUUGGAACUGAGACACGGUCCAAACUCCUACGGGAGGCAGCAUG